GCGCGUGUCAGGUUUUGAGCUGCCGCGGUCCCGAGACUGAGGUGGGUGGCGGGGUCCGCCCGUCUUGGGUGUCACUCCUCGCCAAACCUUUAGCUCAGGUCUUAAUGAAUGUCCUCUCGGUGGUUCUAAUCCGAGCUCCAGCCCCACGGGUUACUGCAGGGGCGGGACCACCUGGCCCAACCUCUGCCUUGGUCCAACACCCCCCGGGUUCCUCCAGGGCCUUGGUCCAACGCCCCUCGGAGGUUUCAGCCCAUUUCACAGACCGGGCCGCAGGGCCCCGGCGUAGGCCUCGGGACCGGAGAGACCCUCGCGGGGAGUUGAACAGGGCUGCGGCCGCCGCGCCCCGGGCGGCGACGUCACCGCCCUUGCUGGUGUUUGGUCGCCUCGCGCCGCGCGCCCUUCAAACCUUUUCUCCCCGUGGCUGUCGGCGCCCGCUGGGCGGGAGGCCUAUUCGGAGGCGGCCGCUCUGCGCCUCGGCGUUUCCUCCAAGGCUGCCCACCAGAAGGACCUGCCCGAGAGGGUAGAGGGAGGGCAUAGGGUCAAGAUCAAGGUCAGAGGCCCCCUUGGGUUGGGAGAGGACACGGAAGGGGUUAGGAGCCCAGGAACUGGGGUCGCAAGAGACCCAAGAUCUGACUUGAGAGGCCUGAAAAUGCCUGUGCAAUUCUGCUUCAGCCCGGGUGCAGCAGCGGCUCACGCCUGUAAUCCCAACACUUCGGGAGGCCGAGGCGGGCGGAUCACUCGAGCCCAGGAAUUUGAGACCAGCCUGGGCAGCAUAGCGAGACCCCUGUCUGUAUUAAUAUAUUUAAAAAAAAAAAAAAAAAAGGCCCGCUCCAGCCGAAUCUGCUUGAAGUUGGCGUUGCUGUUGUAACCACCAGACUGUGUUUGUCUCCCCAUUUAACGGUUAGCUCCUUGGCAGCAGACAGCUGUCCUCACUGGCAGAGGAGGAGCGCUCAGUAAAUGCUCGCUGGACGAAUAAAUGGCUAGAUAAGAUAAGGCAGCUCCAGUCCCUGGAAGGCCAGAGACUUGUCAGUGUCCCACUAGCGGGCUCUUCGCAAGAAUCCCCCCGGGCCCGCCGCAGCCAGGUGGCGGCCGGCAGAGGGCGCUGCUCGGGCAUGGCGGAGGAGCGGCCGGGGCCCUGGUUCGGCUUCGGUUUCUGCGGCUUCGGGCAGGAGCUGGGCUCCGGACGCGGGCGCCAGGUGCACAGCCCCAGUCCGCUGCGGGCGGGCGUCGACAUCUGCCGCGUGAGCGCGAGCUGGAGCUACACCGCUUUCGUGACCCGUGGAGGCCGCUUGGAGCUGUCGGGCUCAGCCAGCGGCGCGGCGGGCCGCUGCAAGGACGCGUGGGCCUCGGAGGGGCUCCUCGCGGUGCUGCGUGCCGGGCCGGGGCGGGAGGCGUUACUGCAGGUCUGGGCGCCCGAAUCGGCGCUGCGUGGGGAGCCCUUGUGGGCCCAGAAUGUGGUGCCCGAGGCCGAAGGGGAAGACGAUCCGGUCGGUGAGGCCCAGGCUGGGAGCCUACCCCUGCUGCCCUGCGCCCGUGCCUACGUGAGCCCGCGGGCGCCCUUCUACCGGCCUCUGGCUCCGGAGCUGCGGGCACGCCAGCUGGAGCUGGGCGCCGAGCACGCGUUGCUGCUGGACGCUGCUGGCCAGGUGUUCUCCUGGGGCGGGGGCAGGCAUGGACAGCUGGGCCAUGGGACCCUGGAGGCAGAGCUGGAGCCACGGCUGUUGGAGGCGUUGCAGGGCCUAGUCAUGGCUGAGGUGGCCGCGGGGGGCUGGCAUUCUGUGUGUGUGAGUGAGACUGGGGAUAUUUAUAUCUGGGGCUGGAAUGAAUCAGGGCAGCUGGCCCUGCCUACCAGGAACCUGGCAGAGGAUGGAGAGACUGUCGCAAGGGAAGAACUGAAUGAAGAUGGUUCUCAGGUGAAGAGAACGGAUGGGGCUGAGGAUGGAGCCCCUGCCCCCUUCAUAGCUGUCCAGCCCUUCCCAGCAUUACUGGAUCUCCCCAUGGGCUCAGAUGCAGUCAAGGCCAGCUGUGGAUCCCGGCACACAGCUGUGGUGACACGAACAGGGGAGCUCUACACCUGGGGCUGGGGUAAAUAUGGACAGCUGGGCCACGAGGACACCACCAGCUUGGAUCGGCCUCGCCGUGUGGAAUACUUUGUAGAUAAGCAACUCCAAGUAAAGGCUGUCACCUGUGGGCCGUGGAACACCUACGUGUAUGCUGUGGAGAAAGGGAAGAGCUGACGUGUACCAACCAACUAAAAAGUGACUGGGGAAAAAAAGGAAACACCACACUAUAUCUUUUUGAAAUGUAAGUAUACAGAUUUUAAUUUAUUUUUAAGAAUAAUUGUAUAUUUUAAAAACAGGACACGUACUGUAUGAGUAAACAGCGUGGCUAACACCAAGUCCACACUGGUAAGCUUUUGAGAACCAUUUACACUAUGUUGACAGUAGUACUGCUGCAGGCAGACAGAGGAAGAAUAAAUAAUAGUGCUUCAAGAAGAGUAGUGAUUGAGAGGAUAGGUAAAGAGGGCGCUUCAUCGUGGAAGCUAGAGCAGGAACACCUCCCCAGUAGUGACAUGUGCAAAGUUCCAGAUCUCCACGACAAAGACAGCCCAACCCAUUGGAACAAACAGACUCCCAAUGUGGCUGGCAACUGCGGGGGUAGAAGAAGAACUCAGGCAAAGUAGGCACAGGAAUGGGGGAGAUGAGAGCCAGGGACAAACGCCGAGAAAGCGUUCCGACAAGCAUGUGUGUUCAUACAUGCAUACCCCCAACAAAGGGCAUUGCACUGUGUAACAGAACUGAACACAAUUUAACAAAGCAGCUCCCAGCCUUCCUGUCACCUCUUUGGCAGUAGGGCAGGCCAUCUCAACUUCGGACACACACAGACAUUCUCUUCAGGAGGAAGGCUGUCCUGUGUGGUGGGGACAAGGCUUCAGGUGAGAGCAAAGCUAUGAUAGCUACAGCAUUAAUUGAACAUGCCUAAACAAAAAAGAUGUUAAUUACUAGUUACAGGUAUACAUGCCAAAAUUACCCCCAGGGAUGGGCAUAGUCAAUCAUUUUCCUACAGUGGUGAAAUAAAACAAGCUUUGAUCACGCUUCAGCAAGUAGAAUUACGUGGUAGAGAAGUCAGGCCCCAUAUGCUAAAAUUUGCACUUCUUGCCAUAAACUUUUCACGUAUAUAAGUCAAAACCAAGUCUCCUAGGACCACUAAACCUGUGAUGGACUUUCAACUGUAACACUCAUUCACAUCUUUAAGUUAGGCCCAUGGUCAUGGAACCUGGCCAAGGUUUCACGCACGCCUAAGCUGAAGAAAAACUAAAGUCACCCCCAUAUAAUUAGGUCCAGUCUAGGCACAGGAAGCCACAGCUGGUUGACUGAUCAGGGCUUCUCAGGACUGGAUGUUGGUUGAAUUGAGGAUUCCAGAAGUAGCAUCAGAUUUGGAAGCCUUUGAAAGUUCUCGCUGUUGAAAAAUAAAUAACAUCAGUGGCCAUACUGCCUCUCUUACACAUGGCCCACCCUUCUAAGUUUGGUUAAGUGUCAGCAAAAGGUCCCUUGAAGGUAGUUUCUCUGAGAUCCCUAGCCUGCAAUAGGCUGCGUUAGGAGUAAAAGGUGAGGAACUCUGAGCACCAUUCUAUUAGUCAUAGACAAGAGUGCAUGUGCACGCAUGCCUGUGACCCCUUUUCUCAGCCAGUCCAUUCUGUUACACCUCAACAGAAGAGAAAUCCUUCAUACAGUCAUGCACUGCAUAAUCAUGUUUCAGUUAACGACAGGCCACAUACACUAUGGUGGUCCCAUAAGAUUAUACCAUAUUUUUAUUGUACCUUUUCUAUGUUUAGAUACACAAACACUUACCAUUGCGUUACAAUUGCCUACAGUAUCCCAGGAAUAGCCUGAAUCAAAAAAACCCACAAUUGCCUACAGUAUUCUUUCUGUAACAUGCUGCCCAGGUUUAUAGCCUAGGAGGAAAACACCAUACCAUAUAGUUUAGGUGUGUAGGCUGUUCUGUCUAGGACUGUUAAGUACACUCUGAUAUGUGCACAAUGAAAUUGCCCCACAUUCUCAGAACAUAUCCCUGUCAUUAAGCGAGGCAUGACUCUACUUCACAGAGCUACUUUAGAGUUGUCAAGGUAAGUAGGCAACAAGCUUUGGUCUCUUGAGCCCUUUAUAAAACAAUGGGCCAGAACAUAUAUCUACCAAUCCCUGGGGCUGAGGCCUUGUAACCUGCUGGUGAUUUGAUCUCAUGCUGGAGCACAUGGUAUAGCAGCAAAAGAUAAAGCAUGAAUGGCUGUUGAGAAAGACAGAUAUUAGCAGAGGUUAGUUUACUGGCUUUGGUGCUGCCUGGUGGAGUCUAUCAGCCAUAGCAACCCAAACCAGACGAACCUACCUAGGACUAGCCACACAGAUAGGCAGGUACAUUUAAGCCUCAGAUAAAAUGGGCCUUGAUUGAACAAGCGAAAAAGAGAAAGCUGGACCUCUGUCCAGCAAUCAGCCAGAGUGACACACACCCACUUUUAAAGGUAGAAGCACCACCAGCCACGUAAUUUGAAAAACAUGCUGGAGUAGGAAGCCAGUUUCAGUGAUCAAAACUAGCUGCAGCCUUGGCCAACUGUUCCAUUCUCCAUACCUGCAGCGAUUAAGAGGGGAGGCAGGCUAGGGGUUUAACUCAAUAUCCCCUCAAGGGUGACGAACAUCCUCUCCUUGCUAGUAAAAUAUUGAGAGAAGAAAUCACAGAUUAAGUAAAAGGCAGCGUAGUUAGGUGUUAGCAAAUGUAGAGUAGGAUACUAGGAAGUGAAGAGCAUUCUGGAAAAACUUGCUUCCAGUGCUUCAUCUAUGCUUCAGUAGCUCAAUGUAUGGAAAGAGGCAAAGGUGAGGAAAUCAGCAUUAGCUAGCUGAGAAUAGAGCUGGCGGUUAAGCAGGCAUAUACUCCAGGAAAUAAUCAGCACACAGGCCAAGAGCCUCACUGUAGGCAGCACACAGCUGGGGCUCCCUUCCCCACGUGAUGGGGCCUCUAUUCUUUCCAGCUAUUGCAGGCCUUUGAUGUCACAAUUGGGGAGGGUCAAGGUUUUCUGUUAAACAUGAUUUAAAACUGUGCCUGACUUUAGGGGCUGAGAAUCCAAUUCAAGUCUGAACAAAUUUUAUUAAUUAAUCUGUUGUGAAUGUAAAUCAGAUGUGUUUUUUUGAGUCCAUGAUAGGAAUUCCUGCUUCCUUUGUAACACUGCCAAGAAUAUUGGUUAGUGUAGCCCUGUGCCCAGAUGAAUGAAGCCAGCAGAUGACAGAUCAGUUUGGAAAAGGGACGUGCAGGGAUUGCCAUACAGACCUGAGGCCCAACAGUGGAACUGUCAGAGAGGGACGGAUCCUUCUAAGAACAAAGAAUUAAGACAAUUACCAAGAACUCCACCAAGAGAGCACCAGGACAGUGAUAGAGGGGUUGCCUCCUGCAGCCAGGGAAUGUCAAGUAAUGCAGUGGGAGCGGGAGAGGAACAAAUCUGUAACUGUCUGUGAUCACUGACUUAUAAACACCACUACACUCGGACCAGCAUGUGUUUUCUUUUAGAACAUAUAAGUUGCAAGAUGGUUGUCUCUCCUUCUUCCUGAAUAAGACAAUGUACCACUGUUAUAAGAUUCCAAGUGAAUUCCUUCAGAGGAAGAGAAGAACAACAUAAGAAGGCGUGGAUGACAGACUUUCAGUUAAACUAACAAGUCAACUCAUGGUCAACAGAAAAUGGCACAAAGAGGGUCUCCUAAGGAAGGUCCCAGUGAGGAAAGAGAAAGAACACUGCAGCACCAUCUAUGCCUACCUUUUUCUCAGCGUUUAUAAAAAAAAAUUCAUAUUCCCUACAAAGCAAAACUAUGGUAUAACAGGACAACUAAGACUGCCCUGGCACCAGAGAAACUACAAUCUAGACGUGCUCUGCUUCCAGUCGGCCGAGAAGCCUGCAGCAAAUCACCUAAACACUUAAGGUCUUUGUGUGCCAUCCACACCCAACUGCAACUAGAGACUUUCAUUAGCCCCUUUCUGUCUCAGAGCUUUCGGUGGUUCUACAAGUCACCAGCCUGGAUCUCUAACAAUGUGUCUCUCCAAAGAUGUUAAUACAUUCACAUCCAAAAUAUCUCCAGCCACGAAGUCCCAGUUUAGAGGUUGCCCAUCCUUGUUGAAGAAACAUUUCUACACAAAUACCUGUUGCCUAUACCAGAUGGCCAUACCAAUACCCAAAUACUGACAAACGUUUAAAAGAAUUUACGGUACUCCCUUCACUUUAGAAAUGUUAACAGUUCAAGUCCAACAGAACUUAAAGGAAAAAAAGAGAAAUGUUAACAGUAAGUAAGGCAUUUAUUUAACAUAAUCUCAACUAAAGUCCAACUAAAGAGCUUCCCCAGGCAAACACUCCUUUUGCACUUCAUUUUGAAGACAAAAGAAUGCACAAGUUAAAAUCCUAAUAUUACCAUUUUAUUAAAAAUAACUUUUAAGAUCCAAUCUGUGGCCAAUAUUCGAUCUGGAUGCAAAACCCUGGCUUCCAGACAGGCCAGCCGGGGGCACUGCUCUGAAGGUCAUUACUUAAGUAUCCCAGUCUCCUCAGUCUGACAGACCUACCCCUGCCCAGCCAAUCUCCACAUAACAGCUAGUUGUUCAUAAUAAAUCCCAUCAGAUCCCCGCUUAACUACUCCCCUUCAAAGGCCCCACUGCCCUCAGGAAAUAGUUCAACCACCUUCUCUGUGGAAAGGCCUUCUAAAACCUCUCUCCGAGUCUGUCUGCUAAUCUCUCCCACUUGACACUCCCCAGGUCUCCGGCCAACUGAACUUCCUGGGCAUUUCCUGAACAAUGCCCCUCAAUAAAUCACAUGCAACUCUCA
RNA transcript from Gorilla gorilla gorilla (western lowland gorilla), 6850 nucleotides. It is a transcript of the gene named RCC1 domain containing 1, with no coding region annotated. The record is from RefSeq and is a predicted model, not a curated record. Lineage: Eukaryota; Metazoa; Chordata; Mammalia; Primates; Hominidae. The transcript is spliced from 13 exons.